AUCAGCUGACGAGUCCCGAAUAGGACGAAACACACAUCAUGGAU
This 44-nucleotide non-coding RNA is filed under the name Schistosoma curassoni. The record is from RNAcentral. Lineage: Eukaryota; Metazoa; Platyhelminthes; Trematoda; Strigeidida; Schistosomatidae.